RNAcentral lists this ribosomal RNA (775 nucleotides) under uncultured Neocallimastigales. Its description in RNAcentral is "partial large subunit ribosomal RNA". It matches the Rfam family "Eukaryotic large subunit ribosomal RNA", at positions 24 to 616 of the family's 3401-position model. Lineage: Eukaryota; Fungi; Neocallimastigomycota; Neocallimastigomycetes; Neocallimastigales. The record is from RNAcentral.
UAUGUGAUCGUCUCUCGCAUAUCAAUAAGCGGAGGAAAAGAAACUAACAAGGAUUCCCCUAGUAACGGCGAGUGAAGCGGGAAGAGCUCAAAUUUGAAAUCUUAAAGGGUUUCCCUUUACGAAUUGUAGUUUAAAGAAGUGUUUUCUGUUGAGGUUUUGGUAAAAGUUCUUUGGAAUAGGACAUCAUAGAGGGUGAGAAUCCCGUAUUUGACCUUUACUUUCAACUUUGUGAUACACUUUCAAAGAGUCGGAUUGUUUGGGAAUGCAGUCCAAAAUGGGUGGUAAAUUUCAUCUAAAGCUAAAUAUUGGCGAGAGACCGAUAGCGAACAAGUACCGUGAGGGAAAGAUGAAAAGAACUUUGAAAAGAGAGUUAAACAGUACGUGAAAUUGUCAAAAGGGAAGCGUUUGACACCAGUGUUGUUUUUCUGAAAAUCAAUUAAAGAACUGUUUAUGCUAAGCUGUUUAGACUUUAUCAGCUAUCUGUUUAGUUUUGAGCUUUUCUUUAAUGCACUUUUCAGUUAACAAGUCAACAUCAAUUUCUUUUGCUGUAAAAAAGCUUGAGGAAGGUGGCUUGAGAUUCGUCUUAAGUGUUUAUAGCCUCUUGCCUAUGCAGUCGGAGAGAUUGAGGUCUGCAGCGUAGAUCCUUCGGGGCUAAAUGCAUUUGUGCUAAGUUAUAGCAGUUUUAUAGACAACUUGUUGACUAUGAUUUGUCUUGUAGCUUACUCGCUUAUGUUAUUUUACCUACGCUUAGGAUGUUGAGCGCAUGUCUCUCUCU